UACACAGGGCAACCAAAAACCAAAGGAACAAU
This 32-nucleotide non-coding RNA is filed under the name Rattus norvegicus (Norway rat). The record is from RNAcentral. Lineage: Eukaryota; Metazoa; Chordata; Mammalia; Rodentia; Muridae.